AGAAAAUACACCCUGUCAAAAGGAGUUUGGAACACUGGAAAAGAAACAUUUACAAGAUCACAAAGAUCAUAAAGAAACAUUUAUAAGAAUCACACAUACAAACAGAAAAUGCACUAACCUUACAGAGACAAGCUCAUGAAGAUUAAUGAACAGAUAAUGACUUAAAACCUGGCUAAGAACACAAACAUACGUAAUUAAAUCAGCCUGCUAAUUUCAUGAGGGUUAAAAUGGUGUGAAUGGUUAAUACAAUUGAUGGAAAGAUUUAAAAUAGAUGGAAAAACAAAAGAAAAGUGUCUAUAAGAGUGACUCAGGAGUGCUCUUGCACUGAUUUAUCAAAGUAAGUGAUUAGUAUAGAAAGAAAAUGAAAAUAAUUCAAUGAUGUGAUAAGGUUUAAACAUGUAUUCCUCUUGUUAAGUUGGCUGUUGAGCUGUGGGUUUAUGCAAAUUAGCUGGAGCAGAGACACUUCCUGUGUGUGUGUGUGUCGGAGGCUUUCGGUUCAGUUCAAGAGAGAGCAGUGGCUGUUGAAGAGUAUUGGGAGAAAUAUAUAAUGGUAAAGUAUCAGGAUAUUUGAUUACGGUGGUCAGGUCUGUUCAGAGGGGCAGAUUUGGACAGGAAAUUUAUAAUUUAAGGAUGAUAUGUGGUUGAAAUUGGUUUUUAUCUUGUGCUGAAUGAAAACGGUCUUUGAUCUUUUGACGAGGUUUUCGGUGUGUUGAACGGGUGAAAUUUAAGAUUGUUGAAGAUUUUUGAGGUUGUUGUUUUAUUUUUAAUAGAGGGAGUUUUGAUAAACAUGGACAUGUCUAAAAGGGCCCAUAGUUUUUAUAACAGUGCACUUAGAAAAACCUGUCAGGUGAUUUUGUUUUGUACUUUGAGGAGCUAAUAAUCAGCUCUCUUUUUUCAUUUUUGUUCUAAGCAGGCCUGGAAGAGAGUGAACGGACGGCGCUGACAAAAUUACCAAGUACGAAAAUCAGUCUUCAGUGGGGGAGAAGCUGAUUGCAGGCUGACAGGAAACGGUGUGCUUUUGCAGAAGCGAAACCGAAACCAGAGCGAGUGCAAGCCAUAAUAAAGAGGAGAUAAGCGACAGCGAAGGCGGGCUAACAGGAAGCAUCAGCCGUCGACACGAAGAUGAUGUUCUAUGUUAAAAGUCAUUGUGGUUUUGGUGUGACGUAAAUCUGCCUAGUAACAGAAAAGGGGGCUGUACAAUUCUUAACCCCAUAAAACAGUUGUCUGAAUAUGAGAAAGACAGUUCAACACUGAUUGGGUUGUUGAACUCACACAUGUGUUCAUUAAAAUGCCGUC
This is a long non-coding RNA of Oreochromis aureus, 1296 nucleotides long. The record is from Ensembl. NCBI's taxonomy places the organism in Eukaryota, Metazoa, Chordata, Actinopteri, Cichliformes, Cichlidae.